AGUUUCCAUCACUGUGGCUCCAGUGCCCAAGCGGAAGCCCAGAGACGGCAGCACCCCCAAGCUUCCAGCCCAGCGCACCCUGGGGCUGCAGGUCAUGGGUGGCCCAGGUUGAGGACAGACGGGAAGGACCGAAGAGGGACUGGGGACAAGACUGGCUGGCAGGGCUGCUGCUGAUAGCAGUGGACAUGUGGCCUUGCCGGGGCUCUCAGCUCCUCCACCUGGGCAGGUGCAGAGCAUGGCUGUCCCCAGCCGGGACUCCGCUCAGCCAUCCACCCAAAGAGGUUUUGUCACCAACUGCACAGCCACUUAGCUGCUCCGUGCUUCCGCAGCCUCCCAGAGAGAUGUGCAGAAUGCAAAAGUUGUAGGCUGAGGAAAGCUUCCACCCAGAUUUCAGAAGAUGGCCUGGGAGGCCGGCAGUAUGUGCACGAGAGGGCCGUGUAUGAAGCUGUGAAGCUGAAGCCAAAAGUGAAAUGCAGAUGCCAGGAAGGUGGAGAAGCCAGUAAUGUGCAUUGUCCACUGAGGCAAGCUGUAGGCGCUAGGAGUUUGAGUCUCAGAGAAGACUUUGGACUUGCACUUUUCAGCAACUGGGGCUUUUUUUGUGCUCCUGGAUGUCAGACUCGGGAUCUUGUGUUUGCCAGGCAGACGUUUAAGCUGUAUCUCCCAGGUCCACCAGCUGGGGCUUUAAGACUUUGGAGACUCUCCAAACUUCUAAAUGAAGUUCACAUAAAGAGAUGCACACAAGUCUUAGGAGUCGGGUGAUGCGUUAGGGUUUAGAUCUAGAUGCCUUGGAGC
This is a long non-coding RNA of Octodon degus (degu), 792 nucleotides long. RefSeq lists it as uncharacterized. The transcript is spliced from 4 exons. The record is from RefSeq and is a predicted model, not a curated record. NCBI's taxonomy places the organism in Eukaryota, Metazoa, Chordata, Mammalia, Rodentia, Octodontidae.